This is a non-coding RNA of Acanthosepion pharaonis, 111 nucleotides long. The record is from the annotation of a GenBank genome assembly. Lineage: Eukaryota; Metazoa; Mollusca; Cephalopoda; Sepiida; Sepiidae.
UGGCUACAUCAUGUUGAAACACCAGUUCUCUAACAAUCACAAAAGUUAAGCAACAUUGCACCUGGUCAGUACCUAGAUUGGUGACCACUUGAGAAUACUAGGUGCUGUAAG